GAGCGAACAGACGAGGAGCUUGCUCCUUUGACGUUAGCGGCGGACGGGUGAGUAACACGUGGGUAACCUACCUAUAAGACUGGGAUAACUUCGGGAAACCGGAGCUAAUACCGGAUAAUAUUUCGAACCGCAGGUUCGAUAGUGAAAGAUGGCUUUGCUAUCACUUAUAGAUGGACCUGCGCCGUAUUAGCUAGUUGGUAAGGUAACGGCUUACCAAGGCAACGAUACGUAGCCGACCUGAGAGGGUGAUCGGCCACACUGGAACUGAGACACGGUCCAGACUCCUACGGGAGGCAGCAGUAGGGAAUCUUCCGCAAUGGGCGAAAGCCUGACGGAGCAACGCCGCGUGAGUGAUGAAGGUCUUCGGAUCGUAAAACUCUGUUAUUAGGGAAGAACAAACGUGUAAGUAACUGUGCACGUCUUGACGGUACCUAAUCAGAAAGCCACGGCUAACUACGUGCCAGCAGCCGCGGUAAUACGUAGGUGGCAAGCGUUAUCCGGAAUUAUUGGGCGUAAAGCGCGCGUAGGCGGUUUUUUAAGUCUGAUGUGAAAGCCCACGGCUCAACCGUGGAGGGUCAUUGGAAACUGGAAAACUUGAGU
RNAcentral lists this ribosomal RNA (600 nucleotides) under Staphylococcus hominis. Its description in RNAcentral is "bacterial SSU rRNA". It matches the Rfam family "Bacterial small subunit ribosomal RNA", at positions 64 to 647 of the family's 1533-position model. The record is from RNAcentral. Lineage: Bacteria; Bacillati; Bacillota; Bacilli; Caryophanales; Staphylococcaceae.